This 616-nucleotide ribosomal RNA is filed under the name Salmonella enterica. RNAcentral describes it as "partial 23S ribosomal RNA". It matches the Rfam family "Bacterial large subunit ribosomal RNA", at positions 1967 to 2583 of the family's 2925-position model. The record is from RNAcentral. Lineage: Bacteria; Pseudomonadati; Pseudomonadota; Gammaproteobacteria; Enterobacterales; Enterobacteriaceae.
CCUUGUCGGGUAAGUUCCGACCUGCACGAAUGGCGUAACGACUUCUCCACUGUCUCAACCACGAACUCGGCGAAAUUGCACUACGAGUAAAGAUGCUCGUUACGCGCAGCAGGACGGAAAGACCCCGGGACCUUUACUACAGCUUGGUAUUGGUGUUCGGUACGGCUUGUGUAGGAUAGGUGGGAGACUGUGAAGCAUGCACGCCAGUGUGUGUGGAGUCAACGUUGAAAUACCACUCUGGUCGUUCUGGAUAUCUAACCUCGGUCCGUGAUCCGGAUCAGGGACAGUGCCUGGUGGGUAGUUUAACUGGGGCGGUUGCCUCCUAAAAGGUAACGGAGGCGCCCAAAGGUUCCCUCAGCCUGGUUGGCAAUCAGGUUUUGAGUGUAAGUGCACAAGGGAGCUUGACUGUGAGACAGGCAUGUCGAGCAGGGACGAAAGUCGGGACUAGUGAUCCGGCGGUGGCUUGUGGAAGCGCCGUCGCUCAACGGAUAAAAGGUACCCCGGGGAUAACAGGCUGAUCUUGCCCAAGAGUCCAUAUCGACGGCAUGGUUUGGCACCUCGAUGUCGGCUCGUCGCAUCCUGGGGCUGGAGUAGGUCCCAAGGGUUGGGCUGUUCG